Molecule: ribosomal RNA, 960 nt
Filed under: Triticum aestivum (bread wheat)
Lineage: Eukaryota; Viridiplantae; Streptophyta; Magnoliopsida; Poales; Poaceae
Description: partial small subunit ribosomal RNA
Source: RNAcentral
AUGCGUGACGCCAAGGAAGCUCUCGCCGCCGCUAGCCGCAGCGUAACCACGCUCACGUUCAGGUACACGGAAGGAGAGGACGACUACCCCAGUGCCUACCUGUCACCGUCUUUCAGAGACGCCGUGUUCGAAGCAAAGCAGGGCAUGGCCCAAGGACUCGGGGCGCUGCUGUCCGGCAAGGCGGCCCGCCACCUAGAGGAACUCCACAUCGGGCUCUUCUACGGCCCGUGCUCGGACACACCCUGGUCCAAGUUUCUCUACCCUCUCAGCAUAGGCGUCCUGUCGUCGUCAACGUCCCUCCGCGUGCUGCACCUCAGCAAGUGCGUGGACUACGACCAGGUGUUCCGUAGUCAAUUCCCUCGGCUCGUGGAGCUGCGGCUGCACCUGUGCAGCGUCUCGCUCGACCUACUCCAAGGCGUGAUCUACGCCGCGCCGCUGCUCGCCACUCUGCACCUCGACAAAUCCGAGCUCUUUGUAGGGAACCCUCGUGUGCAGCGUUCGCUGGUCAUGCGCUGCCCCGGGGUCACCACCCUCGCUCUCUCAAAUUUCGACUGCUGGGUUCAUAAUUGUCAACACACCAUGGAGCUCGAUGCUCCGCUGCUGCGGCACUUCACGUAUGAGGGGCCCCUCCGGCCAUUGUCGCUCAAGUCACCGCAGCCAUCGGACAUGACACGGGUGGACCUGCGCCUGCAUUUCUUUGCGGAGGUUGUUCCUACAGAUGACGAGGCAUGCCAUAAAUUCGUUCAAGCCUUCAGCAACGCAAAGAUAGUCAAGGUUAACUUCAUUUUCUUUUCAAAAAAGAAUCAAACCAACAAUACCGCAGUCAGAACGAGCAACCAACAAGAUUAUGAGCUUUACUUCAACUACCGCAUCACAAGGAUUGAGAAUGUGGUCUCAUUCGGAUGCACACUCGCGUACAACGGGCAGCCGCUAGUCCUGCAAGAAAAAACUGUUUUCUAA